Molecule: long non-coding RNA, 837 nt
Filed under: Equus caballus (horse)
Lineage: Eukaryota; Metazoa; Chordata; Mammalia; Perissodactyla; Equidae
Description: lncRNA (ENSECAG00000057170.1)
Source: RNAcentral
UCCCGCCCUGGGAGGAGGAGGGGAAAAGAACACAGGCUGAGCAGUGGAGGGAAGAGGGAGCCAUUUCUCUCCACUAACUGCAACCUCUGUGUUUGCAGCUCACAUUUCCCGGGAAUCCAGAGGCCUCCUCGGCCAAGGACUCCACAAUGCUGGAUAUUUUCAUCCUGAUGUUCUUUGCCAUCAUAGGCCUGGUCAUUCUGUCCUACAUUAUCUAUCUGCUCUAGCGGCCUGUAGCUGCGGCGGGGAGCCCACAGGAGAACAGCUCAGGGGGGAAGGAUGAAGCUGGCUGGCCGAGCAUCCUGCUUUGUUGACGCACCGGUGGAUUUUUGCUUCUGGUCGUCAUUUCGGGUGCUCAAACUCCAAACUACCCAUUUUCUUCCAGUAAUUAAAGCUCCUGGUCUCCAAUCCAACAAGAGGCCUCUUAUCAACAGCAGCAGUCCUACUGCCCAGCAGACCUCUUCCAGAGCCUCCCGGAUACGGUUAACCCCUGUCAAGCAAGGGGCUUUUUGAGCUCAGAGGCACAGGCGCUCGGCUGGGACGUGAGGAAUUCAUGGGCCCUGCUGGCAGAUACUGUGUGCGUGUGUGAGUGUAGAUAGAGGGUGUUGAGAACACAGAGCUGAAAUGUGGACUCAUUCAAGUUACCAUGGAGAACUGCUCAGAAUUCAUUUUAUAGGCUUUCCUUAGGUCUAAAUGCAACUGUAUAUUAUGCUAAAAUAUGUUCCUUCCUUUCCCGCUCACACGCAGGGUUUCCCCUGUAAAUUCAAGAGCGCGCUGUCUCUGUUCAUCUAUGAGACGUCACUUUAUCACUCACUGUCUCUACAGAUUGCACAAUCUGGG